UAUUAUUAAGCGGAGGAAAAGAAACUAACAAAGAUUGACUUAGUAAGGGCGACUGAACUGUCAAGAGCUCAGCAUGUGAAUCAGCGCUUACCUCUUUGUAAGCGCUGAAUUGUGGUCUUGUGACUUUUGCGUUCAUUCUGAAAGCAGACCAUGUUUUUUGGAAUAAAAUAGCAUAGAGGGUGAAACUCCCGUUUGUCUGCUUUGGCGAAGCAAAUUGUCAAUGAGUCGAGUUGUUUGGGAUUGCAGCUCCAAUUGUACGGUGGUAAAUUCCAUCUCAAGCUAAAUAUUGGCGGGGGACCGAUAGCGUACAAGUACCGUGAGGGAAAGAUGCAAAGAACUUUGAAAAGAGAGUGAAAGAGUACCUGAAAUUGCUGAAAAGGAAGCGAACGAAGCUAGUGAAAGCUGCGUCAUACUUUCCAACUUGCUUGCAAUUUGGACGCUGUGGCCAGCCCAGUUGGGCUUGAUUGCAACAGCUGAAAGCAGGUGAAGAAAAGAUUCCAUUUUCUCUUGCCCUAUCACGCACCUGUUGCAGUUGAGUUGAACGAAAUAGAUUUGUUUGCCCCGUCUAGAAACACGGACCAAGGAGUCUAACAUAUGUGCGAGUACUGGGGCAACAAACCUCGGUGCGCAAUGAAAGUGUCAGAGGCUGGAAUGUCUUGUACAUUGCACAGUCCGCCGGCCUCCAUCCCUCGGGAAAAUGGUCUGAGUGUGAGCAUACAUGUUGGGACCCGAAAGAUGGUGAACUAUGCUUGAGUAGGGUGAAGCCAGGGGAAACUUUGGUGAAGGCUCGCAGCGAUUCUGACGUGCAAAUCGAUCGUCAAACUUGAGUAUAGGGGCGAAAGACUAAUCGAACUAUCUAGUAGCUGGUUCCCUCCGAAAUUUCCCUUAGGAUAGCUGCAAUCUUUUUUGAAUGAGCCAGUUUUGUCA
RNAcentral lists this ribosomal RNA (927 nucleotides) under Pinnularia borealis complex sp. RNAcentral's name for it is "partial 28S ribosomal RNA". It matches the Rfam family "Eukaryotic large subunit ribosomal RNA", at positions 41 to 1006 of the family's 3401-position model. Lineage: Eukaryota; Bacillariophyta; Bacillariophyceae; Sellaphorales; Pinnulariaceae. The record is from RNAcentral.